GACGAACGCUGGCGGCGUGCUUAACACAUGCAAGUCGAACGGAGAGGCCCUGCUUGCAGGGUACUCGAGUGGCGAACGGGUGAGUAACACGUGGGUGAUCUGCCCUGCACUUCGGGAUAAGCUUGGGAAACUGGGUCUAAUACCGGAUAGGACCGCACUUUAGUGUGUGUGGUGGAAAGUUUUUUCGGUGUAGGAUGAGCUCGCGGCCUAUCAGCUUGUUGGUGGGGUAAUGGCCUACCAAGGCGGCGACGGGUAGCCGGCCUGAGAGGGUGUACGGCCACAUUGGGACUGAGAGACGGCCCAGACUCCUACGGGAGGCAGCAGGGGGGAAUAUUGCACAAUGGGCGCAAGCCUGAUGCAGCGACGCCGCGUGGGGGAUGAAGGCCUUCGGGUUGUAAACUCCUUUCGCUAGGGACGAAGCUUUUUGUGACGGUACCUAGAUAAGAAGCACCGGCUAACUACGUG
This 465-nucleotide ribosomal RNA is filed under the name uncultured bacterium. RNAcentral describes it as "partial 16S ribosomal RNA". It matches the Rfam family "Bacterial small subunit ribosomal RNA", at positions 28 to 507 of the family's 1533-position model. The record is from RNAcentral.